RNAcentral lists this ribosomal RNA (300 nucleotides) under Solirubrobacterales bacterium. Its description in RNAcentral is "partial 23S ribosomal RNA". It matches the Rfam family "Bacterial large subunit ribosomal RNA", at positions 2626 to 2925 of the family's 2925-position model. Lineage: Bacteria; Bacillati; Actinomycetota; Thermoleophilia; Solirubrobacterales. The record is from RNAcentral.
ACUGUCGGUCCCUAUCUGCCGUGGGCGUUGGAGAGUUGAGAGGAUUCGUCCCUAGUACGAGAGGACCGGGACGAACGCACCUCUGGUGUAUCUGUUGUCCUGCCAAGGGCACCGCAGGUUAGCUACGUGCGGAUCGGAUAACCGCUGAAAGCAUCUAAGCGGGAAGCCGGCCUCAAGAUGAGCUCUCCCAUCCCCUCGAGGGAGUAAGACCCCUGGAAGAUCACCAGGUUGAUAGGCCGGAUCUGGAAGAGUGGUGACACUCGUAGGAGACCGGUACUAAUGGGUCGAGGGCUUGACGGA